ACUGGAGGCCCGAACCCACUUAUGUUGAAAAAUGAGGGGAUGAGCUGUGGAUAGGGGUGAAAGGCCAAACAAACCCGGAGAUAGCUGGUUCUCUCCGAAAUCUAUUUAGGUAGAGCGUCAUGUAUUACUUCUGGGGGUAGAGCACUGUUAUGGCUAGCGGGUCGUCAAGACUUAGUAAACCAUUGCAAACUCCGAAUACCAGAAAGUAUGAGCAUGGCAGACACACUGCGGGUGCUAACGUCCGUAGUGGAAAGGGAAACAACCCAGACCGUCAGCUAAGGUCCCAAAAUUAUAGUUAAGUGGGAAACGAUGUGAAAAGGCAUAGACAGCCAGGAGGUUGGCUUAGAAGCAGCCAUUCCUUUAAAGAGUGCGUAAUAGCUCACUGGUCGAGUCGGUUUGCGCGGAAGAUUUAACGGGGCUAAACUAUAUACCGAAGCUGCGGAUCGCAAUUUAUUGCGAUGGUAGGAGAGCGUUCUGUAAGCCGUUGAAGGUGAACUGUGAGGUUUGCUGGAGGUAUCAGAAGUGCGAAUGCUGACAUGAGUAACGAUAAAGGGGGUGAAAAACCCCCUCGCCAGAAGUCCAAGGUUUCCUACGCAACGUUAAUCGGCGUAGGGUUAGUCGGCCCCUAAGGCGAGGCAGAAAUGCGUAGUCGAUGGGAAACGGGUUAAUAUUCCCGUACUUCAUAUAACUGCGAUGGGAAGACGGAGAAGGUUAGCUCAGCAAGGCGAUGGUUGUCCUUGUUCAAGCGUGUAGAAAUGGUUCUUAGGAAAAUCCGGGAACCUCUAUUUCAAGGCGUGAUAACGAUCCCUCUUUUGGGAGAAGUGAGUGAUACCAUGCUUCCAGGAAAAUCCUCUAAGCUUCAGGUUAUAUGAAACCGUACCCCAAACCGACACAGGUGGACGAGAUGAGAAUUCUAAGGCGCUUGAGAGAACUCGGGUGAAGGAACUAGGCAAAAUGACACCGUAACUUCGGGAGAAGGUGUACUCUUGUUAUGUGAAAUCACUCGCUGAUAGAGCAGAAAAGAGUUGAAAAUACUAGGUGGCUGCGACUGUUUAUUAAAAACACAGCACUCUGCAAACACGUAAGUGGACGUAUAGGGUGUGACUCCUGCCCGGUGCUUGAAGGUUAAUUGAUGAGGUUAGCGCUUGCGCGAAGCUUUUGAUCGAAGCCCAAGUAAACGGCGGCCGUAACUAUAACGGUCCUAAGGUAGCGAAAUUCCUUGUCGGG
RNAcentral lists this ribosomal RNA (1227 nucleotides) under marine metagenome. RNAcentral's name for it is "bacterial LSU rRNA". It matches the Rfam family "Bacterial large subunit ribosomal RNA", at positions 765 to 1976 of the family's 2925-position model. The record is from RNAcentral.